GGACUACCAGGGUUUCUAAUCCUGUUUGCUCCCCACGCUCUCGCGCCUCAGCGUCAGUGUCAGUCCAGGUAGCCGCCUUCGCCACUGGUGUUCCUUCCGAUAUCUACGCAUUUCACCGCUACACCGGAAAUUCCACUACCCUCUACUGCACUCCAGUCUACCAGUCUAAGAUGCAGUUCCCAGGUUAAGCCCAGGGAUUUCACAUCUUACUUAAUAAACCGCCUACGCGCCCUUUACGCCCAGUAAUUCCGAUUAACGCUCGCACCCUCUGUAUUACCGCGGCUGCUGGCAC
Molecule: ribosomal RNA, 292 nt
Filed under: uncultured bacterium
Lineage: Bacteria
Description: partial 16S ribosomal RNA
Source: RNAcentral